Molecule: ribosomal RNA, 433 nt
Filed under: uncultured bacterium
Lineage: Bacteria
Description: partial 16S ribosomal RNA
Rfam family: Bacterial small subunit ribosomal RNA
Source: RNAcentral
AACGAACGCUGGCGGCAUGCCUAACACAUGCAAGUCGAACGAGACCUUCGGGUCUAGUGGCGCACGGGUGCGUACCGCGUGGGAACCUGCCCUUAGGUUCGGAAUAACUCCCCGAGAGGGGUGCUAAUACCGGAUAAUGUCUUCGGACCAAAGAUUUAUCGCCUUUGGAUGGGCCCGCGUUGGAUUAGCUAGUUGGUAGGGUAAAAGCCUACCAAGGCGACGAUCCAUGGCUGGUCUGAGAGGAGGAUCAGCCAGACUGGGACUGAGACACGGCCUAGACUCCUACGGGAGGGAGCAGUGGGGAAUAUUGUACAAGGGGCGAAAGCCUGAUCCAGCAAUGCCGGGUGAGUGAUGAAGGCCUUAGGGUUGCAAAGCUCUUUUACCCGGGAUGAUAAUGACAGUACCGGGAGAAUAAGCUCCGGCUAACUCCGUG